This 1388-nucleotide ribosomal RNA is filed under the name uncultured bacterium. Its description in RNAcentral is "bacterial SSU rRNA". It matches the Rfam family "Bacterial small subunit ribosomal RNA". The record is from RNAcentral.
AGUUUGAUCCUGGCUCAGGAUGAACGCUGGCGGCGUGCCUAACACAUGCAAGUCGAACGAAGCACCUUACUUGAUUCUUCGGAUGAAGGUCUGGUGACUGAGUGGCGGACGGGUGAGUAACGCGUGGGUAACCUGCCCUGUACAGGGGGAUAACAGCUGGAAACGGCUGCUAAUACCGCAUAAGCGCACGAAGAGACAUCUCCUAGUGUGAAAAACUCCGGUGGUACAGGAUGGGCCCGCGUCUGAUUAGCUGGUUGGCAGGGUAACGGCCUACCAAGGCAACGAUCAGUAGCCGGUCUGAGAGGAUGAACGGCCACAUUGGAACUGAGACACGGUCCAAACUCCUACGGGAGGCAGCAGUGGGGAAUAUUGCACAAUGGGCGAAAGCCUGAUGCAGCGACGCCGCGUGAAGGAUGAAGUUUUUCGGUAUGUAAACUUCUAUCAGCAGGGAAGAAAAUGACGGUACUUGACUAAGAAGCCCCGGCUAACUACGUGCCAGCAGCCGCGGUAAUACGUAGGUGGCAAGCGUUAUCCGGAUUUACUGGGUGUAAAGGGAGCGCAGACGGCUGUGCAAGUCUGAAGUGAAAUGCAUGGGCUCAACCUGUGGACUGCUUUGGAAACUGUGCAUCUAGAGUGUCGGAGAGGUAAGUGGAAUUCCUAGUGUAGCGGUGAAAUGCGUAGAUAUUAGGAGGAACACCAGUGGCGAAGGCGGCUUACUGGACGAUGACUGACGUUGAGGCUCGAAAGCGUGGGGAGCAAACAGGAUUAGAUACCCUGGUAGUCCACGCCGUAAACGAUGACUGCUAGGUGUCGGGUUGCAAACCCUAUUUGGUGCCGCAGCUAGUGCAAUAAGCAGUCCACCUGGGGAGUAGGUUUGCAAGAAUGAAACUCAAAGGAAUAGACGGGGAUCCGCACAAGAGGUGGAGCAUGUGGUUUAAUUAGAAGCAACGCGAAGAACCUUACGUGAUCUUGACAUCCCGAUGAGCGCUUCGUAAUGGAAGUUUUUCUUCGGAACAUCGGUGACAGGUGGUGCAUGGUUGUGGUCAGCUACGUGUCGUGAGAUGUUGGGUUAAGUCCUGCAACGAGCGCCACCCUUAUCUUCAGUAGCCAGCAUUUAGGAUGGGCACUCUGGAGAGAAUGCCAGGGAUAACCUGGAGGAAGGCGGGGAAGAUGUCAAAUCAUCAUGCCCUUUAUGACCAGGGCUACACACGUGCAACAAUGGUGUAAACAAAGGGAAGCAGAGCCGAGAGCCGGAGCAAAUCUCAAAAAUAACGUGUCAGUUAGGAAGGUAGUAAGCAACUAGACUACAAGAAGCUGGAAUCGCUAGUAAUCGCAGAUCAGAAUGAGGCGGUGAACAAGUUCCCGGCUCUAGCACACACCGCCCGUCA